GAUCGCAUAGCGGAGUAGAUAUCGCGUUAAAUUCCGGAUCUAAAGGUCAUGUGUUCGAAUCCCACUGCGAUUG
This 73-nucleotide transfer RNA is filed under the name Olea europaea subsp. europaea. It matches the Rfam family "tRNA". Rfam says of the family: Transfer RNA (tRNA) molecules are approximately 80 nucleotides in length. Their secondary structure includes four short double-helical elements and three loops (D, anti-codon, and T loops). The record is from Rfam by way of RNAcentral. Lineage: Eukaryota; Viridiplantae; Streptophyta; Magnoliopsida; Lamiales; Oleaceae.